GAGGAUAUAGUUCAAGUGGUAGAGCACAUGCUUAGCAUACACAAGGUCCUGGGUUCAAUCCCCAGUAUCUCCU
This 73-nucleotide transfer RNA is filed under the name Camelus bactrianus (Bactrian camel). It matches the Rfam family "tRNA". Rfam says of the family: Transfer RNA (tRNA) molecules are approximately 80 nucleotides in length. Their secondary structure includes four short double-helical elements and three loops (D, anti-codon, and T loops). RNAcentral also lists the same sequence under 2 other names. Lineage: Eukaryota; Metazoa; Chordata; Mammalia; Artiodactyla; Camelidae. The record is from Rfam by way of RNAcentral.